UACGUAGGGGGCUAGCGUUAUCCGGAAUUACUGGGUGUAAAGGGUGUGUAGGCGGCUAGGCAAGUCAGGCGUGAAAUGUACAGGCUUAACCUGUGAACUGCGUUUGAAACUGCAUAGCUUGAGUAGAGUAGAGGCAAGCGGAAUUUCCGGUGUAGCGGUGAAAUGCGUAGAGAUCGGAAGGAACACCAGUGGCGAAGGCGGCUUGCUGGGCUCAAACUGACGCUGAGGCACGAAAGCAUGGGGAGCAAACA
RNAcentral lists this ribosomal RNA (251 nucleotides) under uncultured bacterium. RNAcentral describes it as "partial 16S ribosomal RNA". It matches the Rfam family "Bacterial small subunit ribosomal RNA", at positions 524 to 774 of the family's 1533-position model. The record is from RNAcentral.